RNAcentral lists this ribosomal RNA (440 nucleotides) under uncultured bacterium. RNAcentral describes it as "partial 16S ribosomal RNA". It matches the Rfam family "Bacterial small subunit ribosomal RNA", at positions 338 to 795 of the family's 1533-position model. The record is from RNAcentral.
CCUACGGGUGGCAGCAGUAGGGAAUCUUGCGCAAUGGGCGAAAGCCUGACGCAGCAACGCCGCGUGAUCGAGACGCCCUUCGGGGUGUAAAGAUCUGUCAGUGGUGACGAAACUUGACGGUACCCACAGUGGUAGCACCGGCUAACUCCGUGCCAGAAGCCGCGGUAAUACGGGGGGUGCAAGCGUUGUCCGGAAUCAUUGGGCGUAAAGAGUGCGUAGGCGGGAUGUAAAGUCUGGUGUUAAAGGCAGAGGCUCAACUUCAGUACGGCACUGGAUACUGGCGAGCUAGAAUGCGGUAGAGGUAGAGGGAAUUCCUGGUGUAGCGGUGAAAUGCUUAGAUAUCAGGAGGAACAUCGGUGGCGUAGGCGCUUUACUGGGCCGUAAUUGACGCUGAGGAACGAAAGCCAGGGUAGCAAAUGGGAUUAGAUACCCUUGUAGUC